RNAcentral lists this ribosomal RNA (244 nucleotides) under Klebsiella pneumoniae. RNAcentral's name for it is "partial 23S ribosomal RNA". It matches the Rfam family "Bacterial large subunit ribosomal RNA", at positions 1942 to 2185 of the family's 2925-position model. The record is from RNAcentral. Lineage: Bacteria; Pseudomonadati; Pseudomonadota; Gammaproteobacteria; Enterobacterales; Enterobacteriaceae.
AUAACGGUCCUAAGGUAGCGAAAUUCCUUGUCGGCUAAAUACUGACCUGCACGAAAGGCAUAAUGAUCUCUCAACUGUCUCAACACUAGACUCGGUGAAAUUAUGGUCCCAGUGAAAACGCUGGGUUCCCGCAUCAAGACGAAAAGACCCCAUGGAGCUUUACUAUAACUUCGUAUUGGAAUUUGGCCUAACAUGUGUAGGAUAGGUGGGAGACUUUGAAGCUGAGACGCCAGUAGCAGUGGAG